RNAcentral lists this ribosomal RNA (345 nucleotides) under uncultured Lactobacillus sp. RNAcentral's name for it is "bacterial SSU rRNA". It matches the Rfam family "Bacterial small subunit ribosomal RNA", at positions 1037 to 1388 of the family's 1533-position model. The record is from RNAcentral. Lineage: Bacteria; Bacillati; Bacillota; Bacilli; Lactobacillales; Lactobacillaceae.
GGUGGUGCAUGGCUUCGUCAGCUCGUGUCGUGAGAUGUUGGGUUAAGUCCCGCAACGAGCGCAACCCUUGUUGUCAGUUGCCAGCAUUAAGUUGGGCACUCUGGCGAGACUGCCGGUGACAAACGGAGGAAGGUGGGGACGACGUCAAGUCAUCAUGCCCCUUAUGACCUGGGCUACACACGUGCUACAAUGGACGGUACAACGAGUCGCGAGACCGCGAGGUUUAGCUAAUCUCUUAAAGCCGUUCUCAGUUCGGAUUGUAGGCUGCAACUCGCCUACAUGAAGUAAUCGCUAGUAAUCGCGAAUCAGCAUGUCGCGGUGAAUACGUUCCCGGGCCUUGUACAC